UAGGUGUUAUUUUGUCACGUAACAAAACAUGACAAAACACUUGCUAGGGUGUUUUGUCAAGGGCUUGAUUAACAUUGUUAUCUGUACUAAAGUAGCGAUCUUCAAACUCCUCCAUGCCUGGGAUCACAUGUGAAUCCUUGUUCAGUGACAUGUCAAUCUCCCAUGUCACAAUUUUUAGCUUUGGGAAUUUCUUACAAACAGCAUGUCUUCCUUCAGGAGCCUGCGUCGUAAUUUCAAAAUUUUCAAAAAUGAAAUAUAAACUAUUAAUAAUUCUGUAGAACUUAAAAUUGUCUGGAGAGAAAACAAUUAAACAUCAAAAUCACUCACUGCUAUGAGAUUAAGGAAGAUUAUGUUGGAUUCUGCUACACCCUUGCUCAGCAGCAAAGAAGUAGCUUUGAUUGCAGAAUUUCCUAAUAAUGAAGAAUUUUUAGACACUGGAUAUGUAUUAUGAAAACAUAUUUGGAAGAAUUACAGUAUGUUUGGAAUUUAUUUUACUUGAAGCCAAAACUGGGUCGAGCAAUAACACAUUGCGGCUUGAAAUGUCAGCUGGUAGCUUCUCAUAGAUUAACUGCAGCAAUGUCACAGGUAUAAAAUCUUACUGAAGCAGUUGAGAGAGAGAGAGAGAGAGAUCUUAAAAGCAUCUUUGUAGAAUUUGCAUAUGCAUCUUGGAGAAGAUAGAGCUAGCACUCGUGAAUGAAUACAUGGUUUGGUUACUACUGCAGAAUUAUGUUAAAUUGACGAAUUUUACGAAUUUGCAUAUGCAUCUGGGAGUACGAGCUUGAGAGAGGUGUCAAAUGCAUCUAGUGGGCAACAAGCUUCAAAAGAAAAUGAAUAGGUUUUGUUGAGGGAAUAGUUGAUAUAAUCGAGCGGCUGAUGUUUGGGAGCCAAACUGAGAUUAUGUUGCUCUUUCUUUUCUUUUCUUUUCUUCUUUUUUUUUUCUUUUUCUUUUUUUUUUUUUUUU
Non-coding RNA from Camellia sinensis, 961 nucleotides. NCBI's taxonomy places the organism in Eukaryota, Viridiplantae, Streptophyta, Magnoliopsida, Ericales, Theaceae. The record is from RefSeq and is a predicted model, not a curated record.